Long non-coding RNA from Anarrhichthys ocellatus (wolf-eel), 274 nucleotides. RefSeq lists it as uncharacterized. Lineage: Eukaryota; Metazoa; Chordata; Actinopteri; Perciformes; Anarhichadidae. The record is from RefSeq and is a predicted model, not a curated record. The transcript has 3 exons.
GCAGUGUCUGCAAAAGGAGGACACAAACCAAAACAGAAGAACAGCCGCCCUGCUUGGUCUUCCAUGCUAUCUUUCAGAGGAUUCCACCGACAUAAUCCGGAUGUGUGACGCUCAUGGAGAAAACCUUGAUGUGAUCAUGAAAGGAAUGCAGGUUGGACUGUUGAUUGGACACGAAGGCACUCUGCAAGAUGCAUUUCCUUUGGAAGUCUUCAAUGUGGCUGUGGUAGCAGAGGAGAAGAUCAUCCUACAUAAGCUCGGAGACAUCCCCACAGGC